GGGAGUUGUAGUCUUGGGCCGCAGAGAGGCCAUGGCGGUGGCGGACCGGCCAGGGGCGGGUAGUGUCCCCGUGGUACCAGUCGCCAGUGGCCACAGCAUCCCGGUGCUGGGGCUCGGUACUUCCCACCAGGGUGGCUAUUCCCACACUGCAGUGGUCCAUGCCCUACAGAAAUGCGGCAUUCGUCACAUUGACACAGCAAAAAGAUACGGCUGUGAAUCCCUCCUCCAAAGGGCCAUCAGAGAGAGUGCUGUGAAGCGAGAGGACCUCUGGAUAACUACCAAACUUUGGCACAGUGAUUGUGGCUAUGAAAGCACAAAAAAGGCCUGCCUGGAGUCAUGUGAAAGGCUUGGUGUUGAGUAUCUUGAUCUUUAUUUGAUACACUGGCCUGAUGCACAAGUUCCAGGUAAAAGCAAUCGAGAGGUCCGAGCUGAAACCUGGAGAGCGAUGGAAGAGCUCUAUGACAAAGGUUUGUGUAAAUCUAUUGGCGUAAGCAAUUUUCUUAUCAGCCAUCUUGAGCAACUAAAGGAGGACUGUGUGAUUACUCCACAUGUUAAUCAGGUUGAAUACCACCCUUUCCAAAGACCUCAGGAGCUGGUUGAUUAUUGUCGGAGAAGAGAUAUUGUUUUUGAAGGCUACUGUCCUUUAGCCAAAGGUGAAGCACUCACACAUCCUACUAUCAUUCAGCUGGCAAAGAAGUAUGGCAGAACUCCAGCACAGAUUUGCAUACGCUGGAGCAUUCAGAAUGGAAUUGUCACUAUUCCAAAGUCAACAAAAGUGGAGCGGAUAGAGGAAAACUGCAAGGUGUUUGAUUUUACAAUAGCAGAAGAUGAUGUUGAAAUUCUGAAUGGAAUGCAUGAUGGGAGACAUGUUUCCUGGGAUCCAAGUUUCAUUGUGUGAAUCAAGGGCCAAGAGGUGAGCAGUGAGCUCCAAGAGCCAAAGAGACAUCUUUGUUAUUACUUACUGGAAACUGGGCUUUCUUACAGAUGCAGAAAUACUUCCAGUGUCUUCUCUGCUCUCUUGGAACUUUCUGGUAUAGUCUCUCAGUAUGAGUUAUCUCACAAUAUUAUCAUUUUCUUCUGCCUUCAUGUACUUCAUUUAAGGUGUCAUUUGAACCCAUUUGAACAAAUUAGGGUUUUGGGUUUUUUCCUUACAUAUUUUGAAAAGUAUUAAUUACUUGAAGGCACAUCAGAGCACGCUACAUUGCAAGUAAAUCUUGACAAAUGAUUUAAAAUACAGAAUAUUUGUUCAGGGAUUUUAGCAGAAUAAUGAAUCUGACUUUAUAUUUCUUCUAGUCAUGUGAAUUUUGGGGGAUUCUGCAGGCCACUCUUGAUAUUUUCUUGGUGACCAAACCUGCACUCUGAUACUGUUUCACGAAUCUCCUGUCAUGACCCAGCACUUCAGAGAGAAAUGGCUCCCUUUGUGACCUAAGUUGCAUCAGAAUGAAUAAAAGUAGUUUUUGCUUA
RNA transcript from Corvus hawaiiensis (hawaiian crow), 1464 nucleotides. RefSeq lists it as uncharacterized. Lineage: Eukaryota; Metazoa; Chordata; Aves; Passeriformes; Corvidae. The record is from RefSeq and is a predicted model, not a curated record. The transcript has 9 exons.